This 473-nucleotide ribosomal RNA is filed under the name uncultured organism. RNAcentral's name for it is "partial 16S ribosomal RNA". It matches the Rfam family "Bacterial small subunit ribosomal RNA", at positions 332 to 797 of the family's 1533-position model. The record is from RNAcentral.
UACACUCCUACGGGAGGCAGCAGUGGGGAAUUUUGGACAAUGGGCGAAAGCCUGAUCCAGCAAUGCCGCGUGUGUGAAGAAGGCCUUCGGGUUGUAAAGCACUUUUGUCCGGAAAGAAAUCCUUGGCUCUAAUACAGUCGGGGGAUGACGGUACCGGAAGAAUAAGCACCGGCUAACUACGUGCCAGCAGCCGCGGUAAUACGUAGGGUGCGAGCGUUAAUCGGAAUUACUGGGCGUAAAGCGUGCGCAGGCGGUUUGCUAAGACCGAUGUGAAAUCCCCGGGCUCAACCUGGGAACUGCAUUGGUGACUGGCAGGCUAGAGUAUGGCAGAGGGGGGUAGAAUUCCACGUGUAGCAGUGAAAUGCGUAGAGAUGUGGAGGAAUACCGAUGGCGAAGGCAGCCCCCUGGGCCAAUACUGACGCUCAUGCACGAAAGCGUGGGGAGCAAACAGGAUUAGAAACCCUUGUAGUCCC